Molecule: microRNA precursor, 103 nt
Filed under: Marmota monax (woodchuck)
Lineage: Eukaryota; Metazoa; Chordata; Mammalia; Rodentia; Sciuridae
Source: RNAcentral
AGUGGGAUAGCUGGGUCAAAAGGUGGUUCCAGUUCCAGAUUUCUAAGAAAUCUCCAUACUGCUUUCCAUAUUGGCUGCACCAAUUUGCAGUCUCACCAGCAAU